UUCAAUGAAGCUUCGGUAGAUUUGAUUUAAUCCUAGUGGCGGACGGGUGAGUAACGCGUGGGUAACCUGCCUUAUACAGGGGGAUAACAGUCAGAAAUGGCUGCUAAUACCGCAUAAGCGCACAGGGCCGCAUGGCCCGGUGUGAAAAACUGAGGUGGUAUAAGAUGGACCCGCGUUGGAUUAGCCAGUUGGCAGGGUAACGGCCUACCAAAGCGACGAUCCAUAGCCGGCCUGAGAGGGUGAACGGCCACAUUGGGACUGAGACACGGCCCAGACUCCUACGGGAGGCAGCAGUGGGGAAUAUUGCACAAUGGGGGAAACCCUGAUGCAGCGACGCCGCGUGAAGGAAGAAGUAUCUCGGUAUGUAAACUUCUAUCAGCAGGGAAGAAAAUGACGGUACCUGACUAAGAAGCCCCGGCUAACUACGUGCCAGCAGCCGCGGUAAUACGUAGGGGGCAAGCGUUAUCCGGAUUUACUGGGUGUAAAGGGAGCGUAGACGGCAUAACAAGUCUGAUGUGAAAGGCUGGGGCUUAACCCCGGGACUGCAUUGGAAACUGUUAAGCUUGAGUGCCGGAGGGGUAAGCGGAAUUCCUAGUGUAGCGGUGAAAUGCGUAGAUAUUAGGAGGAACACCAGUGGCGAAGGCGGCUUACUGG
This 654-nucleotide ribosomal RNA is filed under the name uncultured Lachnospiraceae bacterium. RNAcentral describes it as "bacterial SSU rRNA". It matches the Rfam family "Bacterial small subunit ribosomal RNA", at positions 62 to 732 of the family's 1533-position model. Lineage: Bacteria; Bacillati; Bacillota; Clostridia; Lachnospirales; Lachnospiraceae. The record is from RNAcentral.